This is a non-coding RNA of Pelobates cultripes (western spadefoot toad), 137 nucleotides long. The record is from the annotation of a GenBank genome assembly. Lineage: Eukaryota; Metazoa; Chordata; Amphibia; Anura; Pelobatidae.
UCUCCCCCUAUUGGUAUUUAGAGCCCCCACCCGCCGCUCAAGGGUGGGGGCCAGGGGGGAGGACAUUAGGUCCCCCCUUAUUCCAAUUUAGGGCCCCCACCCGCCGCUGCGGGGUGGGGGCCAGAGGGGAGGACAUU